Long non-coding RNA from Serinus canaria (Common canary), 432 nucleotides. RefSeq lists it as uncharacterized. The transcript has 3 exons. The record is from RefSeq and is a predicted model, not a curated record. NCBI's taxonomy places the organism in Eukaryota, Metazoa, Chordata, Aves, Passeriformes, Fringillidae.
UGUAAGUAACAUGGGAGAAUUUGAAGAAAGCAUCGUACACUUUUUGUCCUAUUCUCCCUGAUCUUCAUCCCAAAAUGAACACUGCAAAAUAAAAUUAAUCUGAAUCUGAGAAAUCUGGAGCAGAAAUCUGAAGCUUGUAGAUGUGCAUGCAAUCUCCAUUGAAGAAGGAAGAAUGUUCGUCUGUAAUGCUCUGGCAUUCCUCUAAGAAAGGAACAACGACCGAAUGACUUUUGCACACUUAUGGCCUUCACGUUUGAAUUAAUACUUAGGUCCCAGCUAUGGCAAAGCCCAGCCGCUUUUCUGCUUUUCUGCCGAAUGUUAAGCAAAAGCAAAUCUUGCUUCCCUCCCAGCCUGCAUGUUCCACACACGCCAGCAAACUGAGGGGGCAGCUGUAACAAGGCCCACUGCAACGCAGAUACUUUGUAGGCUCCA